This 365-nucleotide unclassified non-coding RNA is filed under the name Hevea brasiliensis (rubber tree). Lineage: Eukaryota; Viridiplantae; Streptophyta; Magnoliopsida; Malpighiales; Euphorbiaceae. The record is from RNAcentral.
GUAAGGGAUUCUUUAGGAAAAGAUUAUCAUACCAUGCUAAAGGAAAAUGCGGAAUCGAAGUUAGACCAGAAUGCCGACUAACAGUUGUUCUUAGGGAGACAACACCUGAAGAAGAGGCAGAGAUAGCAAAGCUUAAAGUUAGCAAUUUCCGCAAGCUUACCAAGCGUGAAAACCGACUUGUACCUCAUAAACUUAUUGAAACCACAUCUAUCUGGAACCGGAAGGGCAAAGCUAAAGUGAAUGAAGAAUGUUGAAAGGCUUCGAAGUAUGAUAAUAACUGCUUCCAGUUGCGUUUCCUCAUCUCUUUCUGCCAAUGCAUUGUUUACUUUCAUGUCCUUUUGUUCUAGACAAGUUAGGCAGGAAAA